UUGAUUCGAGACAUUCUCCCCCAAGUUACACAUAAAUAUGCAUAUACUUACAAUGAGAGAAAGUCUCUCACUCAGUGAACCAAGGUUAUAUCAAAUCUACACAUAUUGUGUGUCUUUUGCUAGCAAUAAUAAUAAUAAUAAUUAAUUUUAUUUGUAACACACUCUUUAUUCAGAAGAAUCUCAUAGUGCCAUAGUGUCCAUAGAGCCCACAAUCCUCCCUGUGUCUCUGGCUGUGGUGGUGGUGGUGGUGGUGAUGGGAGUUGUAGUCUUUAUGUUCUACAGGCACAGGAGAAACAAGACACCAGAACUUUCAUUUGAUGAUCCAAACAGCAGAAGCAACAGUCAGGCUCCUCACCCGGACCGCACGUAUGAAGAGAUUAAUGACAACCCAGCUGCACAUCCUGGACCCAGCACUG
Molecule: long non-coding RNA, 416 nt
Organism: Clupea harengus (Atlantic herring)
Lineage: Eukaryota; Metazoa; Chordata; Actinopteri; Clupeiformes; Clupeidae
Exons: 3
Source: RefSeq, a predicted model, not a curated record